GUCGUGGGGCAGCAGGUCCCGAGAAAUCGGGAUGCUGGCGACCGGCAAACGGGUGCGGAACACGUACGCAACCUUCCUUCAAGCGGGGAAUAGCCCGGGGAAACCCGGAUUAAUACCUCAUAAAAUUCUUAGAUGGCAUCAUCUUAUUAUUAAAGCUCCGGCACUUGAAGAUGGGCGUGCGCCUGAUUAGGUAGUUGGCGGGGUAAUGGCCCACCAAGCCUGCGAUCAGUAACUGGUGUGAGGGCAUGACCAGUCACACGGGCACUGAGACACGGGCCCGACUCCUACGGGAGGCAGCAGUAAGGAAUAUUGGUCAAUGGACGCAAGUCUGAACCAGCCAUGCCGCGUGGAGGAUGAAGGUCCUCUGGAUUGUAAACUUCUUUUAUUUGGGAAGAAAUUCCCGCAUUCUUGCGGGAUUGACGGUACCAGAUGAAUAAGCACCGGCUAACUCCGUGCCAGCAGCCGCGGUAAUACGGAGGGUGCAAGCGUUAUCCGGAUUUACUGGGUUUAAAGGGUGCGUAGGCGGAAAGGUAAGUCAGUGGUGAAAUCUCCCGACUUAAUCGGGAAACUGCCGUUGAUACUAUCUAUCUUGAAUGCCGCAGAGGUUAGCGGAAUAUGUCAUGUAGCGGUGAAAUGCUUAGAGAUGACAUAGAACACCAAUUGCGAAGGCAGCUAACUAUACGGUGAUUGACGCUGAUGCACGAAAGCGUGGGGAUCAAACAGGAUUAGAUACCCUGGUAGUCCACGCCCUAAACGAUGAUUACUCGACAUACGCGAUACACUGUGUGUGUCUGAGCGAAAGCAUUAAGUAAUCCACCUGGGAAGUACGAUCGCAAGAUUGAAACUCAAAGGAAUUGGCGGGGGUCCGCACAAGCGGUGGAGCAUGUGGUUUAUUUCGAUGAUACGCGAGGAACCUUACCUGGGCUAGAAUGCAUUUGGACUGUGGGUGAAAGCCCACUUUAUAGCAUAUACCAUUUGAAGGUGCUGCAUGCUGUCGUCAGCUCGUGCCGUGAGGUGUGGGUAAGUCCCGCACGAGCGCCCCCCUAUCAGUAGUGCAUCAGUUA
RNAcentral lists this ribosomal RNA (1064 nucleotides) under uncultured Bacteroidota bacterium. Its description in RNAcentral is "bacterial SSU rRNA". It matches the Rfam family "Bacterial small subunit ribosomal RNA", at positions 61 to 1127 of the family's 1533-position model. The record is from RNAcentral. Lineage: Bacteria; Pseudomonadati; Bacteroidota.